This is a non-coding RNA of Paralichthys olivaceus (Japanese flounder), 639 nucleotides long. The record is from RefSeq and is a predicted model, not a curated record. Lineage: Eukaryota; Metazoa; Chordata; Actinopteri; Pleuronectiformes; Paralichthyidae.
UGUGUCUCACCUGUGUCCACUUGUCUCACGUCUCCAGGUUCUGUGCUGCUUGUGUUUCAGAUUCACUCACCGUCGUUACUCUUCCUUUGUCGUUUGUCGGAGUUUUGGAUUUCCAGUUUGCUUCCCUGUCGACUGAGUCCAAGCCUCACGUGAACGACGACUCCACCAACCUGCAGAGGAGCACGUUGCUGCAGAGUUCACACCAGGACUUCCUGCUGUUCCCUCACCUGCUGCACCUCACACUGCGCCCGAGUUUCACUCCCAACGUCCAACCCGGAGCCUCAUCUCCCUCUCACCUUGAGUGAGUUCCAUGUAAAUACCGCAGGAGCAUCCGGCUGACCCUCUCGCUUCGUCGCUGUUGCUGCACCUUCGUUAACGAUGGCGGCUUCGCCUCCGAGAGUUUGUGGAGGAACUGGAUCACUGAGCUGAACCGGCGCAGCUGAGAGGAGGAAUUCACCAGGGACGGAGCUUCUCAAAUAUCACGCCGGCGUUUCUCUAACGGCUGCUGACCCUCGUCGAUGGAGAAAGUCAACGAAGGAGGACGUUAAACGAUCCACAUCGAAACUUCCCUCCACCUCCAGACGUGAACUCCAGAUCAUCUCCAGAAAUGAUCCCGAGGUGCCGUAUACGUGGUUUCUC